UAAUCGAUGUGUUGCGCAUGCGAUGUAGC
Molecule: small RNA, 29 nt
Filed under: Bombyx mori (domestic silkworm)
Lineage: Eukaryota; Metazoa; Arthropoda; Insecta; Lepidoptera; Bombycidae
Description: ovarian small RNA-19669
Source: RNAcentral